GCCAGACUCCUACGGGAGGCAGCAGUGGGGGAUAUUGCACAAUGGGGGGAACCCUGAUGCAGCGACGCCGCGUGGGUGAAGGAGUGCUUCGGCAUGUAAAGCCCUAUCGGCAGGGAAGAAGCAAGACGGUACCUGACUAAGAAGCCCCGGCUAACUACGUGCCAGCAGCCGCGGUAAUACGUAUGGAGCAAGCGUUAUCCGGAUUUACUGGGUGUAAAGGGAGCGCAGGCGGCCUUGCAAGUCUGAUGUGAAAGGCCGGGGCCCAACCCCGGGACUGCAUUGGAAACUGCGAGGCUGGAGUGUCGGAGAGGCAGGCGGAAUUCCUAGUGUAGCGGUGAAAUGCGUAGAUAUUAGGAGGAACACCAGUGGCGAAGGCGGCCUGCUGGACGAUGACUGACGCUGAGGCUCGAAAGCGUGGGGAGCAAACAGGAUUAGAUACCCUAGUAA
Molecule: ribosomal RNA, 447 nt
Filed under: uncultured bacterium
Lineage: Bacteria
Description: bacterial SSU rRNA
Rfam family: Bacterial small subunit ribosomal RNA
Source: RNAcentral